This 461-nucleotide ribosomal RNA is filed under the name uncultured bacterium. RNAcentral's name for it is "bacterial SSU rRNA". It matches the Rfam family "Bacterial small subunit ribosomal RNA", at positions 918 to 1379 of the family's 1533-position model. The record is from RNAcentral.
GACCCGCACAAGCGGUGGAUGAUGUGGUUUAAUUCGAUGCAACGCGAAAAACCUUACCCACCUUUGACAUGUAUGGAAGUCGCCAGAGAUGGCUUCGUGCUCGAAAGAGAACCAUAACACAGGUGCUGCAUGGCUGUCGUCAGCUCGUGUCGUGAGAUGUUGGGUUAAGUCCCGCAACGAGCGCAACCCUUGUCAUUAGUUGCUACAUUCAGUUGGGCACUCUAAUGAGACUGCCGGUGACAAACCGGAGGAAGGUGGGGAUGACGUCAAGUCCUCAUGGCCCUUAUAGGUGGGGCUACACACGUCAUACAAUGGCUGGUACAAAGGGUUGCCAACCCGCGAGGGGGAGCUAAUCCCAUAAAACCAGUCGUAGUCCGGAUAGCAGUCUGCAACUAGACUGCGUGAAGUCGGAAUCGCUAGUAAUCGUGGAUCAGAAUGUCACGAUGAAUACGUUCCCGGGU